GGGUUGUGAGGUUAAGCGACUAAGCGUACACGGUGGAUGCCCUGGCAGUCAGAGGCGAUGAAGGACGUGCUAAUCUGCGAUAAGCGUCGGUAAGGUGAUAUGAACCGUUAUAACCGGCGAUUUCCGAAUGGGGAAACCCAGUGUGUUUCGACACACUAUCAUUAACUGAAUCCAUAGGUUAAUGAGGCGAACCGGGGGAACUGAAACAUCUAAGUACCCCGAGGAAAAGAAAUCAACCGAGAUUCCCCCAGUAGCGGCGAGCGAACGGGGAGCAGCCCAGAGCCUGAAUCAGUGUGUGUGUUAGUGGAAGCGUCUGGAAAGGCGCGCGAUACAGGGUGACAGCCCCGUACACAAAAAUGCACAUGCUGUGAGCUCGAUGAGUAGGGCGGGACACGUGGUAUCCUGUCUGAAUAUGGGGGGACCAUCCUCCAAGGCUAAAUACUCCUGACUGACCGAUAGUGAACCAGUACCGUGAGGGAAAGGCGAAAAGAACCCCGGCGAGGGGAGUGAAAAAGAACCUGAAACCGUGUACGUACAAGCAGUGGGAGCACGCUUAGGCGUGUGACUGCGUACCUUUUGUAUAAUGGGUCAGCGACUUAUAUUCUGUAGCAAGGUUAACCGAAUAGGGGAGCCGAAGGGAAACCGAGUCUUAACUGGGCGUUAAGUUGCAGGGUAUAGACCCGAAACCCGGUGAUCUAGCCAUGGGCAGGUUGAAGGUUGGGUAACACUAACUGGAGGACCGAACCGACUAAUGUUGAAAAAUUAGCGGAUGACUUGUGGCUGGGGGUGAAAGGCCAAUCAAACCGGGAGAUAGCUGGUUCUCCCCGAAAGCUAUUUAGGUAGCGCCUCGUGAAUUCAUCUCCGGGGGUAGAGCACUGUUUCGGCAAGGGGGUCAUCCCGACUUACCAACCCGAUGCAAACUGCGAAUACCGGAGAAUGUUAUCACGGGAGACACACGGCGGGUGCUAACGUCCGUCGUGAAGAGGGAAACAACCCAGACCGCCAGCUAAGGUCCCAAAGUCAUGGUUAAGUGGGAAACGAUGUGGGAAGGCCCAGACAGCCAGGAUGUUGGCUUAGAAGCAGCCAUCAUUUAAAGAAAGCGUAAUAGCUCACUGGUCGAGUCGGCCUGCGCGGAAGAUGUAACGGGGCUAAACCAUGCACCGAAGCUGCGGCAGCGACGCUGAUGCGUUGUUGGGUAGGGGAGCGUUCUGUAAGCCUGCGAAGGUGUGCUGUGAGGCAUGCUGGAGGUAUCAGAAGUGCGAAUGCUGACAUAAGUAACGAUAAAGCGGGUGAAAAGCCCGCUCGCCGGAAGACCAAGGGUUCCUGUCCAACGUUAAUCGGGGCAGGGUGAGUCGACCCCUAAGGCGAGGCCGAAAGGCGUAGUCGAUGGGAAACAGGUUAAUAUUCCUGUACUUGGUGUUACUGCGAAGGGGGGACGGAGAAGGCUAUGUUGGCCGGGCGACGGUUGUCCCGGUUUAAGCGUGUAGGCUGGUUUUCCAGGCAAAUCCGGAAAAUCAAGGCUGAGGCGUGAUGACGAGGCACUACGGUGCUGAAGCAACAAAUGCCCUGCUUCCAGGAAAAGCCUCUAAGCAUCAGGUAACAUCAAAUCGUACCCCAAACCGACACAGGUGGUCAGGUAGAGAAUACCAAGGCGCUUGAGAGAACUCGGGUGAAGGAACUAGGCAAAAUGGUGCCGUAACUUCGGGAGAAGGCACGCUGAUAUGUAGGUGAAGUCCCUCGCGGAUGGAGCUGAAAUCAGUCGAAGAUACCAGCUGGCUGCAACUGUUUAUUAAAAACACAGCACUGUGCAAACACGAAAGUGGACGUAUACGGUGUGACGCCUGCCCGGUGCCGGAAGGUUAAUUGAUGGGGUUAGCCGCAAGGCGAAGCUCUUGAUCGAAGCCCCGGUAAACGGCGGCCGUAACUAUAACGGUCCUAAGGUAGCGAAAUUCCUUGUCGGGUAAGUUCCGACCUGCACGAAUGGCGUAAUGAUGGCCAGGCUGUCUCCACCCGAGACUCAGUGAAAUUGAACUCGCUGUGAAGAUGCAGUGUACCCGCGGCAAGACGGAAAGACCCCGUGAACCUUUACUAUAGCUUGACACUGAACAUUGAGCCUUGAUGUGUAGGAUAGGUGGGAGGCUUUGAAGUGUGGACGCCAGUCUGCAUGGAGCCGACCUUGAAAUACCACCCUUUAAUGUUUGAUGUUCUAACGUUGACCCGUAAUCCGGGUUGCGGACAGUGUCUGGUGGGUAGUUUGACUGGGGCGGUCUCCUCCUAAAGAGUAACGGAGGAGCACGAAGGUUGGCUAAUCCUGGUCGGACAUCAGGAGGUUAGUGCAAUGGCAUAAGCCAGCUUGACUGCGAGCGUGACGGCGCGAGCAGGUGCGAAAGCAGGUCAUAGUGAUCCGGUGGUUCUGAAUGGAAGGGCCAUCGCUCAACGGAUAAAAGGUACUCCGGGGAUAACAGGCUGAUACCGCCCAAGAGUUCAUAUCGACGGCGGUGUUUGGCACCUCGAUGUCGGCUCAUCACAUCCUGGGGCUGAAGUAGGUCCCAAGGGUAUGGCUGUUCGCCAUUUAAAGUGGUACGCGAGCUGGGUUUAGAACGUCGUGAGACAGUUCGGUCCCUAUCUGCCGUGGGCGCUGGAGAACUGAGGGGGGCUGCUCCUAGUACGAGAGGACCGGAGUGGACGCAUCACUGGUGUUCGGGUUGUCAUGCCAAUGGCACUGCCCGGUAGCUAAAUGCGGAAGAGAUAAGUGCUGAAAGCAUCUAAGCACGAAACUUGCCCCGAGAUGAGUUCUCCCUGACCCUUUAAGGGUCCUGAAGGAACGUUGAAGACGACGACGUUGAUAGGCCGGGUGUGUAAGCGCAGCGAUGCGUUGAGCUAACCGGUACUAAUGAACCGUGAGGCUUAACCUUACAACGCCA
This 2924-nucleotide ribosomal RNA is filed under the name Escherichia coli. RNAcentral describes it as "bacterial LSU rRNA". It matches the Rfam family "Bacterial large subunit ribosomal RNA". Lineage: Bacteria; Pseudomonadati; Pseudomonadota; Gammaproteobacteria; Enterobacterales; Enterobacteriaceae. The record is from RNAcentral.